UACGGAGGGUGCAAGCGUUAUCCGGAUUUAUUGGGUUUAAAGGGUGCGCAGGCGGGACCUUAAGUCAGUGGUGAAAUCCCUUCGCUUAACGAAGGAACUGCCAUUGAUACUGAGGUUCUUGAAUCUAGUUGACGUUAGUGGAAUGUGUCAUGUAGCGGUGAAAUGCUUAGAUAUGACACAGAACACCGAUCGCGAAGGCAGCUAGCGAAGCUAGUAUUGACGCUCAGGCACGACAGCAUGGGGAGCAAACAGG
This 253-nucleotide ribosomal RNA is filed under the name uncultured bacterium. RNAcentral's name for it is "partial 16S ribosomal RNA". It matches the Rfam family "Bacterial small subunit ribosomal RNA", at positions 524 to 776 of the family's 1533-position model. The record is from RNAcentral.